RNAcentral lists this long non-coding RNA (604 nucleotides) under Vigna radiata. Its description in RNAcentral is "long non-coding RNA (VRAD_LNC006631)". The record is from RNAcentral. Lineage: Eukaryota; Viridiplantae; Streptophyta; Magnoliopsida; Fabales; Fabaceae.
UUAAUUUACGUAGGGGUAUAUAUGAAAGUUUAUAAAAACAUGGGGAUGUAAGAAGAAAACAUGGGGUGCAGGAAGAAAAGCCCAUAGACUGUCCAAGGGGAUUUUGCAUCGAUAUCUUUACUAACACGGUGUUUUUUAAAAGCAUUGAAAUAGCCCAAAGAAAAAUUAUUUUUAACAGGCCUACUCUUGACUUGAAAAGCCUAAUAAUACGCAAAUUUAAAGAAGAAAGAAAAAGAGUAGAAUUGAAGUUGAAUGUUAUAAGGAAGGAAGUGGGUCCAUGAAUUGAAGUUGGAAUUGCAUUAUUCAGCAUAUUCUGAGUUAGAAGAGUGAAAAAUGGAAGAGUGAAAGGUAAAUAUGAAAUGGGAAAAAGAAAAGGAAUAUACAGAUAAAGAGGAAGUGAAGAAGCAUAUAAGGGAAAAGCAUUGAUUAAUUAAAGAAAAGAAAAGCAAUUCCACUGAGGAGAAGGUUGCAUGGAGUUGAUCCACUUUGUGUUUUGCGAGUUGCCAAUCAUUCGCCGCCUCACCACCCUCUCUUUAUAUAAAAUAAUUCUCUCCUUAUCAUAAAGAAUUUCUUAGUGGGAAUUUCCUUUUUAGGCUCAUUCAUU